Molecule: ribosomal RNA, 330 nt
Filed under: uncultured eukaryote
Lineage: Eukaryota
Description: partial 18S ribosomal RNA
Rfam family: Eukaryotic small subunit ribosomal RNA
Source: RNAcentral
CCCUUAGAUGUUCUGGGCCGCACGCGCGCUACACUGAUGCAUUCAACGAGUCUAAAACCUGGUCUGAUAGGGCUGGGUAAUCUUUUGAAUGUGCAUCGUGAUUGGGAUAGAUGAUUGCAAUUCUUCAUCUUCAACGAGGAAUGCCUAGUAAACGCAAGUCAUCAGCUUGCAUUGAUUACGUCCCUGCCCUUUGUACACACCGCCCGUCGCUCCUACCGAUUGAAUGUUCCGAUGAAUACCAUGGACUGAGAGUAUGAAUGGGUUCGCCUAUUUCUGCUCCUCGGGAAGUGGAGUAAAUCUUAACAUUUAGAGGAAGGAGAAGUCGUAACA